This 444-nucleotide ribosomal RNA is filed under the name uncultured bacterium. RNAcentral's name for it is "bacterial SSU rRNA". It matches the Rfam family "Bacterial small subunit ribosomal RNA", at positions 958 to 1398 of the family's 1533-position model. The record is from RNAcentral.
AACGCGAAGAACCUUACCUGGGCUCGAAAUGCUGUGGACCAGCUUAUGAAAGUAGGCCUUCCCGCAAGGGACCGCAGUAUAGGUGCUGCAUGGCUGUCGUCAGCUCGUGUCGUGAGAUGUUGGGUUAAGUCCCGCAACGAGCGCAACCCUCGUCCUAUGUUGCCAGCGGGUAAUGCCGGGGACUCAUAGGAGACUGCCGGGGUCAACUCGGAGGAAGGUGGGGAUGACGUCAAGUCCUCAUGCCCCUUAUGUCUUGGGCUGCAAACAUGCUACAAUGGCCGGUACAAAGGGUUGCGAGACCGCAAGGUGGAGCGAAUCCCAAAAAGCCGGUCUCAGUUCGGAUUGGGGUCUGCAACUCGACCCCAUGAAGUCGGAGUCGCUAGUAAUCGCAGAUCAGCAACGCUGCGGUGAAUACGUUCCCGGGCCUUGUACACACCGCUAGUC